Molecule: ribosomal RNA, 306 nt
Filed under: uncultured Candidatus Saccharibacteria bacterium
Lineage: Bacteria; Candidatus Saccharimonadota
Description: bacterial SSU rRNA
Rfam family: Bacterial small subunit ribosomal RNA
Source: RNAcentral
GAUGAACGCUGGCGGCGUGCCUAAUACAUGCAAGUCGAGCGGAAAGGCCUCUUCGGAGGUACUCGAGCGGCGGACGGCUGAGUAACGCGUAGGAACGUACCCCGAAGUGAGGAAUAACUGCCCGAAAGGGUGGCUAAUGCCGCAUGUGAUCCACGGAUUAAAGUCUUCGGACGCUUUGGGAACGGCCUGCGUAUGAUUAGUUAGUUGGUGAGGUAAUGGCUCACCAAGACGAUGAUCAUUAGCUGGUCUGAGAGGAUGAUCAGCCAGACUGGGACUGAGAACGGCCCAGACUCCUACGGGUGGCAG